Cannabis sativa is the source of this 1197-nucleotide RNA transcript. RefSeq lists it as uncharacterized. The transcript has 8 exons. Lineage: Eukaryota; Viridiplantae; Streptophyta; Magnoliopsida; Rosales; Cannabaceae. The record is from RefSeq and is a predicted model, not a curated record.
UGUUCUAAAAACUAAAAGAGAACUUAGCAUGACCAUUGCAGUGCAUUAUUGCUCGUAAUUCCGUUGUCUUCCUUGAAGAGUUGAGGUGUUUAGGCGUUAGGGUUUCUUUGCUUCGUACACUGCCCUCGAACUUGCCAGCAGCAAUCAUAACAUAAGAAGAAGUUGAUUCAGUCCAACGACCCUACAAUGGAUGAUAAUCAAGUUCCAGAGGAUACUCCUCGGAAAUGCAUUGGUCCAUCUUCUGUUUCGGCUUACCGUGAUCCUAAAUACUGGAAUAAUCGUUUUUCUAGUGAAGAAAAUUACGAGUGGCUCAAGGAUUACUCUCAGUUUCGGCACCUUGUUCAACCCCAUUUGACUCCCACUUCUUCUGUUUUGGAGCUGGGCUGUGGAAACUCACAGUUGUCUGAAGAAUUGUACAGAGACGGAAUCACCGAAAUAACUUGCAUUGAUUUAUCAGCUGUUGCUGUUGAAAAUAAGAAGAAGCAGUUGCUAUCUAAGGGUUUUAAAGAAAUAAAAGUUCAAGAAGCUGACAUGCUAGACCUACCUUUUAGCAAUGAGUCUUUUGACGUUGUUAUUGAAAAAGGAACCAUGGAUGUACUGUUCGUGGACAGCGGGGACCCAUGGAAUCCAAAGCCAGCAUCAGUAACUAAGGUCAUGAAGAUGCUUGAGGGUGUCCAUAGGGUUCUAAAGCAGGAUGGCAUUUUCAUCUCCAUUUCGUUUGGUCAGCCACAUUUCAGGCGUCCUUUUCUCAACGCCCCAGAAUUUACAUGGUCUUUUGAAUGGAAAACUUUUGGCGAUGGAUUUCAUUAUUUUGUCUACAUUUUGAAAAAGGGAAAGAGAUCGUUGGACAAUGAUGAAUUAGAAACUAGUCAGAAGUUCAACACACCGCUUAUAUCUCCAUACCAUGAUGAAUUAGAAAGUGAAGAUUUUAUGUUCCGAACUAACAUUGAGGAACUCCAUAGUUAGAACUCAUUGAACUGGUUAAUUGUUUAUUAAUGUAGAUACAAUAACUUGAAGGAUGAAUUCAAGUUUUUUUUUUUCUUUCUUUAGAAAAAAAUUAAAAAUACUAAGAUUUGUAACAUUUGUCAACUUUGGGGUGUGAUUUAGUGCAUGAUUUAAAGUUAAAUAAGCCUACAACUUCUCCACUUGGUGUUUUAAUUCAGACUUGUAAAGUAAUGUUAUUUGAACUUUCUUUUA